Zootoca vivipara (common lizard) is the source of this 72-nucleotide non-coding RNA. NCBI's taxonomy places the organism in Eukaryota, Metazoa, Chordata, Lepidosauria, Squamata, Lacertidae. The record is from the annotation of a RefSeq genome assembly.
GGAGGUGUAGCUCAGUGGCAGAGCCCUUGCUUGGCAUGCAGAAGGGCCCAGGUUCGAUCCCAGGCAUCUCCA